ACAAUGCGGGACUAUCAGUCUUGCAAUUGGAUUGAGAACAAUGUACAACUCUUAUCGAUAAGCCAUUGGAGGGCAAGUCUGGUGCCAGCAGCCGCGGUAAUUCCAGCUCCAAUAGCGUAUAUUAACGUUGUUGCAGUUAAAAAGCUCGUAGUUGAAGUGUGGGUGAUCGCUGUUGUGAGACUUCGGUCUCUCGACAGUAAGUCACCCCCUUCCAGUAUCCAGUAGUGGGUAUUCACUUACUUACUAUUGUGUGUUGGUCGUUUACUGUGAGAAAAUUAGAGUGUUCAAAGCAGGCGUUUGCUUGAAUAGAUUAGCAUGGAAUAAUAAUUGAAGGCUUUCGUGUUCGAUUUGAUUGGUUUGUUCAUGGAAGCAAGGUUAAAAGGAACAGUUGGGGGUAUUCAUAUUCACUAGUUAGAGGUGAAAUUCUCGGAUUUAUGGAA
RNAcentral lists this ribosomal RNA (440 nucleotides) under Blastocystis sp. subtype 1. RNAcentral's name for it is "SSU rRNA". It matches the Rfam family "Eukaryotic small subunit ribosomal RNA", at positions 477 to 933 of the family's 1831-position model. The record is from RNAcentral. Lineage: Eukaryota; Bigyra; Opalinata; Blastocystidae.